AUUAAGAUGUGGUCCACAACAUGGUGAAUGUUGAGAACCCCUAACCAAUGGAACCUAGAUGAGAGACAUUUAGAGUCUUUUUGCUGUUGUUUCUGAAGUGCGAAUCAGACCCCCCGCACAUACCACCACAAAGAAUUUAUCAGAAGAAGCUGGGAUGGAACUGGCAAGGAAAUUAUAGCUCCUGGAGAAAAAAAAUGAAUGUGCCCACCUCACCAAAAGGCCAUGUGACCUCGUUGAUAGAGCCCUGGGACUUGGAAGACCUGGAUUCUCUUCCCAGCUCAACCAGUGACCUUGUGCCUCAGUUUCCCCCACCUAUAAAAUGGAGAAAAUGAGGCCAAUCUCUUUUGUGAAAUGCCAUAAGACCUUCUGAUGAAAAGCAAGGUACUGCUAUUGUUCUAAGCAUCAUCACCCUGUCUAUAUUCCAUAGUAAUGUUUGCCAGUCUGAUACACUUUCUUUCUGCAUUGUGAGAAGAAGGAAGUGCUGUGGCUAAACUAAACAGCACAGCUUAUCUCAGAAACAGCUUGUCCUAGAAACUUCAAGUGAAGAUCAUGACGAGAUGGAACACUUCCCUUGACUUCAGUAGCCUUUGGAUCAAGGCUCAAGUGCCCAGAACUAAUUUUUAAUAUUUGGGAAGUUAUUCUCUGUUGAAUUAGGAACAUCAGAAUGAUCCAUUACAGAUUCCAGGGGAGUUAAAAAAAAACAUCAAAUGACUGUUGGAAGCCUAAAUGUUCUUUUAAAGUACAUUUCUAGCCCCAUUUCCUUAUGGAAAUAGCCUUAAAAGGGUAACUCGAUUGAUAAGGUGGUUUUUCACAGUGACUUUUCUACAAUAAAUAGGUAAAAUCACAGCUUGCCUCCAACCUCACCAGCUGUGCUUUUGACUGAUACCUCCCUGGCUACCAGACAACAGCUCCUAAGUCAAUUAUGCUCCUGGCAUAACUGUGCAUGCCUUAACUGGGAAACGCUGACUGCUGUAAAGUUUUGAUUUUUUUUAAUAUAUUAACCUUCACUCUGGAUUUAUUGUGGAUCUGAUGGUUGGUUUUAAAAUAUUGGUGCUCUUUUAAUAGUAUUUCAUUUUAACUCUGAAAAGAUCCGAUAUUCACUGUCAACCUUAACAAAGUUCUGUGUCUGGGUAAAAUAUUUAUAUAGCUGUCAAGCUUGUCUCUGCUUAGACUGCCUGAAGCAGACACCAUCCUUCUUGAUGGCCUGGCAAGCACCUAGAGCAAACUGAUCAUUACCAUAUAUAAUAAUAACAAUAUACUGAAAUUCAUUGGGUUACAUUAGUAAUAGGAAUAAUGAGGUGACAUGAGGAGGUUGGAGGUUAGUGAAUUAAUGGCACAGCUCUUUAUUAUUUAGAUUUGUUUUAAUUUAAUCUACAAUUCUACUACUGAUAGUUAUUAAGUUAUGCGCCCACCCCUAAAUCUCCAACUGCUAGAAGCAUCUGGCACUGACCACAGGCAGAUACACAAUACUGGGCUAGAUGGACUUAUUGGUCUGACCCAGUGUGGAUGUUCUGUUCUUGACUUUAAAUUUUUCAAGACAGUCCAGGGCAUUAGCCUUGGAGUUGGGAGACCUGGGUUCACAUCCCUGAUUCACCACAAUUCUCUCUUUUUUCGCCUUGGGCAGGAGGUAAUAGUGCUUCCUGAUCUCACAGAGGUGUUAUGACAAUAAUUACAUUGAAGGUGAUGAGGUGCUCAGAUACUAUGGUGAUGAAGUACCCCGACCUCAUCAGUAGCCUCAUUGAAUUUGAGACCUGCUUCUAUGACCAUUGUAGUCCAGAUAAGUGUUAUCAUUCACUUCAAAGCGAGCAGGAUCAAGGCCUUUAGCCCUGAUUCAGGAAGAUGCAUGCCUAUCUUUAAGCAUAUCAAGAGUCCCAGUGAAGUCAAUGGUGCUACUAACAUGAUUUAAGUUAAGCAGGUACUGAAGCACUUUGCUGGAUCAGUGCCUCAGUUGGGAAGAAUCGUUUUCCACCACUGAAUGGGCUGGAGCUCCAUCUCCAAAUGCCAUAGAUCUCCCAGGAUUCACUGAAACUAGGAUAUCCUGAAUUCAAGUCCAGUGUCUUACCCACAAACCCAUUCUUCCUCUCCCACAUCUUCACCAUACUGCGUGUAAUAGAUUUUUCUCUUCUGUUCCUCACUCCAUCAUUCUCAACCAUGUCAGGAGCGUCUUGCUCAAUGUAUGUUUUCCAGUUUUCAACACCAAAAAUACACCUUGUUUUAUUUCACAAGCCCAUUGCACCCUCUUCCAUCUUCACAGGGGCCUUUCUCGUUCCACUGAGCUAGAUAAUUCCCUUUGUGUUUCAUAAUAAGAUCCACAGAUGAAAAGCGCAACAAUUAGUGCAAAGACUUCUUCAUUAUUACUAAUAUAAAUUCAGGGCAGAAUUACAGAAGCAUUUAACCAAACUGCAGUGGGAAUCUGGAUGAUAUGUACGCAUUAUUUACUACAUUUUUUUUACCUCUGGUUUCUUUUUCUGUUGGUCCUUGGUUUUGUGUGUGUUUGUUUUAAUAUAUAGCUCUUUAACCCCUUAAUGUGGUUGGGUUGGAUCUUAUAUUAUUUUUGCAUCCUAAUGGCUAGGAAUGAAAUGUGCCACCUCUGCUGAUAUUGUUAUUAAUCCUGUAGUCACAGAAUAAUAGAUGACAGAGAUGGAAAAGACCUCUGAAGCUAUGUAAUCUGUCCCCAUCCCUCCCCAGGCACUCUAGCAUUCUUCCCUAUGGCAUAUCUCUAGCACUUUGCCUAGCCAAGUUUUAAAUGUCUCAAGUAAUGAGGUUUUUCAUGGGGCUACUAAUCAUCUUGCCUCUGAUUAUUGCUCUGGCUGAUGGAGUUCGCGUCUCUCUCCCUCUCCUGAUUCAUUUCUCUCUCUCUUUACUGCCUAUAGGCCCAACCCACCCCUAGCCCUCUGUCUUGUACCAAGCUUGAGUAGCCAGGCUUGGUGCAGGAGUUUUCUACAGGAGUCGAGGAGUCCUGAUCUCCUGGCCAUUCCUUUGAUUCUGGUCCACAGGGAUUCACACCCAACAGAGUGGCUUUCUCUCCUCCCAUUGCCCAGCCUUGCAGCUUGAGUGGGGACCCGCACAGUCGCUUACGUACACAUGCAGUAAAUCCGCACUCAUUCCUCCUUUACAGCUGCAGAAAGAUCCCCACUGUCUUUCCUCUGGUUUUCUGGUUCUUGUUCCACUAUUUCCUGCCCCCCCCACUCCAAUUCUCUAUUAUUCUUUGUAGCACCCUCUCAAUGUGGCUAUUUUCUACCUUUUGUUCCUGUUACUCCCUUUGCAUUUUCAUUCUGAUUUCCCUUCCUUUUUAGGUUCCUUUUCUCACUUUGAUUUUUUCUCCUCUUUGUACUUACAUUGCUCAUCAGCCUUCGCCACGACAGGCAGGACAAUUCCUCUUCGACAGGGAAGGAAGGAUGGGCUGUGGUUCAGAAACCAGAUUGUGGGGUGGGGGCGCUCCAUGAGACCUACAUUCAUUUCCUGGCUCUGCCCACACUUCCUGGGCGAGUCAAUUACUCUGGGCGUCAGCUCCCCACUUCUCCGAUGGGGGAUGAUAAGAGUGCUUUACCUCCAGAGCUGGGGGGAGGGGAAAUCCCUUAUCAUUUGCAAAGGUGAUAGGAUUAGUAGACAGAAAAACUGGUUGGGAAAUUGGGGUGUAAAAACCCACAAGAGUGAUCUGGGCAGUUAUCAGUUCUGAAUCUCUCUUCCAUCCCUAUCAAAUAACGAGCAAAGCUUCAGAGAAGAAAAAAACCCUGUGAGAAUCUUGUGGGUCCAGUGCAGGAUGAUGAAGAACAAAACUCGACAGACAAAUUUGGUGGUGUAAGGACUGUGGUAUCUGAGUCUCAUUUACCCUAAGGCAGUGGUCCCAAAAUUUUUACCUCAUGCCCCCCACCCCUGUUUUCACACACCCCUUCCCGCCCCACCCCAGAGCCAGGGCUGGGAGUGGGGCCGUAGCUCUGGGAGAGGGGCAUGCAGGCGGGGGUAAGGGAGCCAAGGCUGAGGCCACAGUUGGGGGUGGGGCCAGGAGCAGAGCCUAAGUUAGGGGUCUCGGAUGGCAGCCAGGGGUCAGCCCUCGGGGCUCUGAGGUGGGGCUGGAGCCAGGGCCAGGGCCAGGGCCAGGAGCGGAGCUGGGUGGUGCUCCCUCCCUGCCUCUCCGUGGGGCCUGGCCUGGGCCCCUGCUGUGCCCUACUGAACAUUCCUCCGUGCCCCACUAGAGGGGCAUGCCCCAUAGUUUGGGGACCUCUGCCCUAAGGUUUUUUUGCACCACUCUGGCUGCAUAAAGGAGCCGUACCGUGGGCAUAAAUUACUUUACACUGUCAGAGUAGGGCUUAGUGAAACCGAGGCCAUGUCUACCUGACAAAAUUAAGUCGACUUAACGUAGGUCGGCACACAGCGGCCGUGGUAAUUACAUCAUUUGCGCGUGCCUACACUUUGAUCCCUGUAUCGGCAGUGAAGUUUCUCACCAGGAGCGCUCAUAUCGAUUGUACUGUCAGCUGGGGGGCAUUGUGGGAAGGCUCCUGAAAGCCAGUAACAGUCGACAUAAGCAAAGCAGUGUGUACUCUGACUCUGCGUCGACCUAACAACAUCGACCUUGGCUCUAUGCUGCUCAUGGGGGUGGAGUUAUUAAGUCGACGUCAUGGGGCAGUUAUGUCGGCAGGAGCAAAAUUUAAAUUUAGACCUUCAGUAGUUAGGUCAAGAUAAGCUGCCUUGCGCCGACCUAGCUCUGCUGUGUUGGCCAGGCCUGAGAAUCAAGCUCUUCGAUUUUGGUAAAACGUGCUAUAAUAUAUCUCAAACCCAUUAUGUGAAAAAGGAAUGGUUGGGCUCAGUUUGCAAACUGGCUGGUGGGCUUUGAGCACAGGGAAGUGGGCAGAGUGUUAUAUUUAAUAUCUUCAUUAAUGAUCUAGAAGAGGGAGUCAGCAGCAGCAAACAGAGGAUGUUUACUGAUUUUUUUUUCCUCUUUGCCGAGCCCUUAAACGACCAUGUGCAUAUGUCACUCAGCAUUCCCAGGAAUUGAUACGCAACGUACAGCCUCAGACAGGGGGUGAAGCUAGCUCCCUUGUCCCUCUCAAGAGAGAAGCCAGAUCCUUCACUGGUGUAAAUCACUAUAGCUCUGUUGAAGAGACCACCAGCAAUUUACACCAGUGACCUGCAGGCUGCAGCAGUUCUUUAAAAGAAAAGAUAAUAACAACAGUACGAAAUUAAUCACAGGCAGAGCUGUCAGCUUUACAGUCCCCGACAUGCGACCCUCCUUGGACGGUAUUGCUCACGCUGGGAAGCUGGUUUCCCUGGGGGCAGGGAGUCUGACCUCUUCCAGCAGAGGCAGAAGUGAAGCCCCAGGGAAAUGAAAAGAAAGGAACAUUUUUAUUCUGUCUGGUUGGAUCCUUGUCACCGGGGACUCAGCAAAAGCUGAGCUGUCCCUGGAAUACCAGACACACAAUACUGACUAUUCAAUAGAGGGCUGGCAGUUUGCUAAAGCCAAAGUGGAAAUGACCCAGUCAGAAAAAAAAAUUGACAGGCUACUCCAGUCCUCUGAGGUACAAUGGUCCUUUUCCUUCUGCAGGAGCCCGCUUCUCCCUCCCUACACACACACAGAGACACACCAUCCUUCCUUCUUAACAAGCAGGAUAGCUGAAUAGUGGGAGGUUGACAAUCAUGGACACUGAAGUCCUCUCCUGACCAACAGAAUGGGUCUAACAAGGGCAGUAGCAAUGCAAUCUCUCCGGGUUGUCCCACUGCUGUGCCCCAAUCCUACCCCAGAAGUGGCCAUCUGGAAGAGACGGAGGAUAGUUCAGUCUCCAGGGCCCAAUGGGACUCUUGGCAACCUCUGCUGAGGUUACCUGUUGAUGUGCUAUAUUUUUGUGAAGGGUGGUCAUGAUGUGGACUCUGGUCUUUUGGAACGGGAUGGGAAGCACCAAAUGAAUUACCUAGGCUACCACAUGACCAUCAAAUGGUGGUAACUUUUCAGUCAUAUCCCUUGAACAUUUUGAACCAGCACACUUUGAGGUGAAAGGAUCCACAUCCCAUUACCACGGCCCUUGUCCUAUCCUUUCUAGCUCCAUCAAGUGUGUGCACAUGCACACGCGCACCACCCCCACACACACACACAGUUACUUUAUCACCAGUAAUUUCUCUAGCUGAGUAUUAUUUUCGGCCGCCUUCAUGAUUUGCUCACUCACAUUCUCACUCCUCUCCUGCUCUAGAAUUUUCCAAACUAGCACGAUCUUCCAGUAUGCUUGGAGGGACAAGAUGGAAGGCAGAGAACUUUGCCUUUACACUGCUUUUUCUGAUAUUUCUCUAGCACCUACUGCCAUGCUGCGUGAGCAGCAGCCCUUGAAAAUUUCCUAUAUGCAGGGCAUGUUCGGCUCAUGGCAGUGCAGAACAGUGUGCAGAUUCUAGGGGUGAACUCCUGGCUCAUUGAACUCCCAUUAACGUCAGCAGGGUCAAGAUUUCACCCCUACCAGGGUCCAGUCUGAUAGGGCUGGGUGGGUGUCCACUGGACACCGCUCCACAGCGGGUGUGACGGCUCGCCCUUUGACAGGACUCAGAUUGGGACAUUGAGUCCAUCAGCACCCCGUGCCCAGUCUCCCUUCCUCCUGUUCUCCCACGGUCCAUUGCCCUCCGGGCUUCCCUCUUCUGUCCCUUACCUGCCAGGCUAUUCAGAGCCAGGAGCAAUGUCAGGGCUGUGCAGGCAUCUGCAGAGGAAGCUCAGCUACCGUGGUUGCAAUGAGGGGACGCACAAUGCUGCCUGACGGUCUGCUGGGCCCUGGGAUGCAGAGAAUAGCUGUGGUACAGGGCAUUCUAACCUCCCCCAAGACAUGCCCUCUGCCCCUUCCUACCAUGGGGCGGAGAGCCGGGUACAGCCCUUAGGCCAGUUUGCUCUGGGUGAGGACCCUUCUGAAGGGGGUAUUCACAGGGAGCCCUAUCUGCCCCCCUUUAAGGGCUCUCCAUGCUGCAUAAAGGGGACUUGAUGUAACAGAGUAUCAGGCCCUUAGGGCUGACAGAAGGUUGCAUUGUAACAGUCCUGCCUUGAUCUAGCCAGAUAUAGUGGGCAACUGAGCCCUGCAGAAGAGCUCUGUGUAAGUUCAAAAGCUUGUCUCUCCCCUCAACAUAGAGGUUGGUCCAAUAAAAAAUAUUGGUUCCCCCACCUGGUCUCCCAUCACAGCCACGUCAUCUAAGGGUUGGCGGAUUUCUGAUGAACAUAAACAGGCAUUCCAAUGAGCUUAGUACCCUAACUGAGAGACACUCACCCAGCUCCAGAACUCAGACAGGGUUUGGCAUUGGUCUCCAAACGGCUCUAGCCCACCGUGUCUCCCACAAAAAAAAAACAAAACCCCAACCGUUCUCCUCUGCACUCAAGCAUCCUCUGAGGUUUAUCAAUUCCCCUUAUCAAAGCACCCAGAUCAAGAUGAUGAUCCGGCUUAACUCAAGAAGGAGCUCCCGCCUGUGCUCGAAAGAUGAGAUCACGCCAGGCUACAUAAUCAGUCUGUGUAAAAGAUCAAUCCUCCCACACACACACACACACACACACACACCCACACCAAAGAAGCGGAAAACUAAACGUACUCCUCAAAGUGGAGGGGAGAAAAACAACCUCCUCACUCUACGGGAAGUAAAAAAAACCCAACAGUGAUUAAUACAGGUCCUAAAUGAUACAAAGAAAUAAAAUGAAAUAGAGGGAAGCUAGAUCAACCACUGACCCACUGUGUGACUUUGCCUUGUGUCACUUCGCCUCUGCUGCAACUCAGUCCCACUCCCAUCCUUUGCUUUGGCUUUUUAGAUAUUAUUUUGCUGGGCAGGGGCUGUGUUGUACAUCCACCAUCUUACAGAGAAUGGUAAUAAAAAAGAGAUGCAACUCAUCAUCCCGUAGGGCCACGUUCUGUAGUCACAGCGUUCACGCCAUGAUAGGGUAGGCUGUAAUAUAGGUGGAGGAUGUGUUUAUAUUGGCUUCCUUGCUAGCCUGUCAAUCCAAGUGAAUCCUCUUUUCUUGGAAAUACAUAAGGGCACGAAUCAUGUAUCUGAAAAUUAUAUCCUACCUUCUUUUCCAUUCACACACUGCUAGAUUAACGCAGGGGGUUUAGAGGCUGCAGCCUGGGCCUCGGAUUUUGAAAAGUCCCCCAAACUAUAGAUCCGUGGUCAGUAAAAGCAACGUGUGACACUCUAGUAUGUGCUGAAAUGAAAAUGUUUUUGUUUGGUUUAACUUGCAUUUGGCUUGCUAUUGGUCUCUCACGUUUAAAAACCAGAACUGAAAUAAAGGGUAAUUUCACAAUGGAGGGUUUAGCAUUGGGCCUGGGUGUUGGUAAAUCAGUAAAGGAAGGAAUUAAAUAUGCAAAGAAGACCCCCCAAAACUGUAACAGCUCCGGGCACCUAUCAGGCAUACUCCAGCCCUGCACCCAUCCAACCUGAUUGAAGUAGAUACAGAUCUAAAGCUGCAACUCUGAGCACAACUGGGUUAUAUGGGCCUUAACCUAUGGGCUGUGUGGGCAUGGCUCCUCCCAGUGCCAUCCGUCUCUGCUGGAUCUUGUGCAGCUCAGUUUAAUUAUAGGAGAGAUUUGUUUCUGAGAAGUAGAGAAAAGCCAAACAAUCAGCCCCUCUGGAGCUGCCGGAGAAGUUGGAUACCCA
This is a long non-coding RNA of Dermochelys coriacea (leatherback sea turtle), 8601 nucleotides long. RefSeq lists it as uncharacterized. The record is from RefSeq and is a predicted model, not a curated record. The transcript is spliced from 6 exons. NCBI's taxonomy places the organism in Eukaryota, Metazoa, Chordata, Testudines, Dermochelyidae.